AGUGAACGCUGGCGGUAGGCCUAACACAUGCAAGUCGAACGGCAGCACAGUAAGAGCUUGCUCUUACGGGUGGCGAGUGGCGGACGGGUGAGGAAUACAUCGGAAUCUACUUUUUCGUGGGGGAUAACGUAGGGAAACUUACGCUAAUACCGCAUACGACCUACGGGUGAAAGCAGGGGAUCUUCGGACCUUGCGCGAUUGAAUGAGCCGAUGUCGGAUUAGCUAGUUGGCGGGGUAAAGGCCCACCAAGGCGACGAUCCGUAGCUGGUCUGAGAGGAUGAUCAGCCACACUGGAACUGAGACACGGUCCAGACUCCUACGGGAGGCAGCAGUAGGGAAUAUUGGACAAUGGGCGCAAGCCUGAUCCAGCCAUCCCGCGUGGGUGAAGAAGGCCUUCGGAUUGUAAAGCCCUUUUGUUGGGAAAGAAAAGCAGCAGGUUAAUACCCCGCUGUUCUGACGGUACCCAAAGAAUAAGCACCGGCUAACUUCGUG
This 492-nucleotide ribosomal RNA is filed under the name uncultured bacterium. Its description in RNAcentral is "partial 16S ribosomal RNA". It matches the Rfam family "Bacterial small subunit ribosomal RNA", at positions 29 to 507 of the family's 1533-position model. The record is from RNAcentral.